RNAcentral lists this ribosomal RNA (470 nucleotides) under uncultured bacterium. RNAcentral describes it as "SSU rRNA". It matches the Rfam family "Bacterial small subunit ribosomal RNA", at positions 26 to 518 of the family's 1533-position model. The record is from RNAcentral.
AGGACGAACGCUGGCGGCGUGCUUAACACAUGCAAGUCGAGCGGAAAGGCCCUUCGGGGUACUCGAGCGGCGAACGGGUGAGUAACACGUGAGUAAUCUGCCCCUAGCUCUGGGAUAGCUCCGGGAAACCGGGAUUAAUACCAGAUACGACCACUUUAGACAUCUUCUGUGGUGGAAAGAACUUCGGCUAGGGAUGAACUCGCGGCCUAUCAGCUUGUUGGUGAGGUAACGGCUCACCAAGGCGACGACGGGUAGCCGGCCUGAGAGGGCGACCGGCCACACUGGGACUGAGACACGGCCCAGACUCCUACGGGAGGCAGCAGUGGGGAAUAUUGCGCAAUGGGCGAAAGCCUGACGCAGCGACGCCGCGUGGGGGAUGAAGGCCUUCGGGUUGUAACCCCUUUCAGCAGGACGAAGCGAAAGUGACGGUACCUGCAGAAGAGCGCCGGCUACUACGCGCCAGCAGCCGC